Molecule: ribosomal RNA, 253 nt
Filed under: uncultured bacterium
Lineage: Bacteria
Description: partial 16S ribosomal RNA
Rfam family: Bacterial small subunit ribosomal RNA
Source: RNAcentral
CACGUAGGGCGCAAGCGUUGUCCGGAAUUAUUGGGCGUAAAGAGCUCGUAGGCGGUCUGUUGCGUCCGCUGUGAAAACUCGGGGCUUAACCCCGAGCCUGCAGUGGAUACGGGCAGACUAGAGGUAGGUAGGGGAGAAUGGAAUUCCCGGUGUAGCGGUGAAAUGCGCAGAUAUCGGGAGGAACACCGGUGGCGAAGGCGGUUCUUUGGGCCUUACCUGACGCUGAGGAGCGAAAGCGUGGGGAGCGAACAGG